UUAAAGAGUGCGUAAUAGCUCACUAGUCAAGCGACUCGGCGUCGAUAAUAAUCGGGCAUAAGUCCGGUGCCGAAGCUGUGGUCCCGCCUCAGGCGGGAGGUAGGGGAGCAUUCCAGCCUGCGUUGAAGGUGCCACCGUGAGGGGUGCUGGAGCGGCUGGAAGCGAAACUGUAGGCAUGAGUAACGAUAAGAAGGGUGAAAAACCCUUCCACCGCAAACCCAAGGGUUCCUGAUCAACGCUAAUCGGAUCAGGGUUAGUCGAGACCUAAGGUGUACCCGGUGAGGCCGGGGAAGCCGAUGGCAAAGCGGUUAAAUAUUCCGCUACCGACUCUAGCGUUAGGCUAAGGCGUGACGCAGAAGUGACACUCCCGCCACGCGACGAAUUGCGUGGUUGAAGGGCGUAGGCCGGGGGGCAGGCAAAUCCGUCUCCCGCUAAGGCUGAACCCCGACAGUACCCGGACCCGCAAGGGGAAGGGAUAGUGGAGGUAAUCAUGCUGCCAAGAAAAGCGUCGUAGUUUGCUGGAGCCGCUCGUACCCCAAACCGACACAGGUGGACUGGUAGAGCAUACCAAGGCGCUUGAGAGAACUCUGCUGAAGGAACUCGGCAAAUUACUCCCGUAAGUUCGCGAGAAGGGAGCCUGGCUUUGCGCAAGCAAUGUCCAGGGGCACAGACCAGGGGGUGGCGACUGUUUACUAAAAACACAGGGCUCUGCGAAGUCGCAAGACGACGUAUAGGGUCUGACGCCUGCCCGGUGCCGGAAGGCUAAAAGGCGGAGGG
Molecule: ribosomal RNA, 777 nt
Filed under: Astrosyne radiata
Lineage: Eukaryota; Bacillariophyta; Fragilariophyceae; Cyclophorales; Cyclophoraceae
Description: partial Bacterial large subunit ribosomal RNA
Rfam family: Bacterial large subunit ribosomal RNA
Source: RNAcentral